Musa acuminata AAA Group (dessert banana) is the source of this 411-nucleotide long non-coding RNA. RefSeq lists it as uncharacterized. NCBI's taxonomy places the organism in Eukaryota, Viridiplantae, Streptophyta, Magnoliopsida, Zingiberales, Musaceae. The record is from RefSeq and is a predicted model, not a curated record. The transcript is spliced from 3 exons.
CCAAACAUUUGCUCCAUUGAUCAUGCGAUCUUGCUGGCCAACCACCAGCCUUAGGUCCUCAUUCAACACCUGUUGGCAAAACUCCCAUCAGCACAUUAAGAAGAGCACAGUAGAAGCUUACUGUAUUGGGCAUGGUUUAGCUCUGUGAAGAUGGAAUUCUAGGAUCGCACUGUGCAGAUAGAGAAACUAGCAAAUCGAAUGCAGUAUUUGUCUUGGUACAAACCUUGGAACAUUCCAUCCCUUCGCAAAAGUGGUGGUGUGAGUAAAAGGAGCAUGGGCAAGGUCUAAAAGAUUGUCCAGCAGUAGGCCAUGCUCCACAGGCAGCUCCAUGACAAUCUGUCCACAUGGAAAACAUGAGCAGACCCGAAUGUUAGAUGAUCAUUUUGCAGUAAAAUUUCUGCAAUUCAAGGA